RNAcentral lists this ribosomal RNA (492 nucleotides) under uncultured bacterium. RNAcentral describes it as "partial 16S ribosomal RNA". It matches the Rfam family "Bacterial small subunit ribosomal RNA", at positions 30 to 507 of the family's 1533-position model. The record is from RNAcentral.
AUUGAACGCUGGCGGCAUGCUUUACACAUGCAAGUCGAACGGUAACAGGCCUUCGGGUGCUGGCGAGUGGCGAACGGGUGAGUAAUGCAUCGGAACGUGCCCAGGGUAGGGGGAUAACGCAGCGAAAGCUGUGCUAAUACCGCAUGUGAUCUGAGGGUGAGAGCGGGGGACCAGGCAGCAAUGUUUGGCCUCGCGCCUUUGGAGCGGCCGAUGUCAGAUUAGGUAGUUGGUGGGGUAAAGGCCUACCAAGCCGACGAUCUGUAGCUGGUCUGAGAGGACGAUCAGUCACACUGGAACUGAGACACGGUCCAGACUCCUACGGGAGGCAGCAGUGGGGAAUAUUGGACAAUGGGCGAAAGCCUGAUCCAGCCAUGCCGCGUGUGUGAAGAAGGUCUUCGGGUUGUAAAGCGCUUUUGGUUGGAAGGAAGAGGAUUUGGCUAAUACCUUGCUCUGUUGACGGUACCGUAAGAAUAAGCACCGGCUAACUACGUG